Molecule: small nuclear RNA, 107 nt
Organism: Lutra lutra (Eurasian river otter)
Lineage: Eukaryota; Metazoa; Chordata; Mammalia; Carnivora; Mustelidae
Source: RefSeq, a predicted model, not a curated record
GUGCUCGCUUUGGCAGCACAGAUGCUAACAUUGGAACAAUGCAGAGAAGACGAGCACAGCCCCUGUGCAAGGAUGACACGCAAAUUUGUGAAGCGUUUCAUAUUUUU